AUGGAAAUAUCAUCAAGGUUGGUCUUAGCAUCUCAAAGCCGCCUCUCUCCUCUGUAUAUACUCUGUUGGAUACGAUUCACGCACCUCCAAAGCCACCGUGGAUUUACUACGGGUUGUAAUUUGUCCCUCUUUCAGAUCUAUCCAUUUAUGUUUUUGUGUUGUCUAUUUUAUGCUUUUUGUCAUUUGGGAUUUAAGACUGCACUCAUGGUAUUUGAUAAAAAGCCUCAAAGGAUUUUUGUGUUUUGGAGCAACAUUAUCUCUAGUCAUCAACAAAGUUUUGAGCAUUCCAUAAAAGUGGACAAUCUUGAGAACAAAGAAGUCGAUAUGCGUAGACACAAAUCAAAGAAAUCAUCCUUAAUU
This is a non-coding RNA of Vicia faba (fava bean), 360 nucleotides long. Lineage: Eukaryota; Viridiplantae; Streptophyta; Magnoliopsida; Fabales; Fabaceae. The record is from the annotation of a GenBank genome assembly.